GGAUCCAGACUUUGAUUCUGGCUCAGGAUGAACGCUGGCGGCGUGCCUAACACAUGCAAGUCGAACGGAAUUUACAUGAAGCCUAGCGAUUGUAAAUUUAGUGGCGGACGGGUGAGUAACGCGUGGGUAACCUGCCUUGUACUGGGGGACAACAGUUGGAAACGACUGCUAAUACCGCAUAAGCGCACAGCUUCGCAUGAAGCAGUGUGAAAAACUCCGGUGGUACAAGAUGGACCCGCGUCUGAUUAGCUGGUUGGUGAGGUAACGGCCCACCAAGGCGACGAUCAGUAGCCGGCCUGAGAGGGUGAACGGCCACAUUGGGACUGAGACACGGCCCAAACUCCUACGGGAGGCAGCAGUGGGGAAUAUUGCACAAUGGGGGAAACCCUGAUGCAGCAACGCCGCGUGAGUGAAGAAGUAUUUCGGUAUGUAAAGCUCUAUCAGCAGGAAAGAAAAUGACGGUAUCUGACUAAGAAGCCCCGGCUAACUACGUGCCAGCAGCCGCGGUAAUACGUAGGGGGCAAGCGUUAUCCGGAUUUACUGGGUGUAAAGGGAGCGUAGACGGUUUUGCAAGUCUGAAGUGAAAGCCCGGGGCUUAACCCCGGGACUGCUUUGGAAACUGUAGGACUAGAGUGCAGGAGAGGUAAGUGGAAUUCCUAGUGUAGCGGUGAAAUGCGUAGAUAUUAGGAGGAACACCAGUGGCGAAGGCGGCUUACUGGACUGUAACUGACGUUGAGGCUCGAAAGCGUGGGGAGCAAACAGGAUUAGAUACCCUGGUAGUCCACGCCGUAAACGAUGAUUACUAGGUGUUGGUGGGUACGACCCAUCGGUGCCGCAGCAAACGCAAUAAGUAAUCCACCUGGGGAGUACGUUCGCAAGAAUGCAACUCAAAUGAAUUGACGG
RNAcentral lists this ribosomal RNA (903 nucleotides) under uncultured Bacteroidota bacterium. RNAcentral's name for it is "bacterial SSU rRNA". It matches the Rfam family "Bacterial small subunit ribosomal RNA", at positions 1 to 916 of the family's 1533-position model. The record is from RNAcentral. Lineage: Bacteria; Pseudomonadati; Bacteroidota.